GUCUAUGGCCACACACCCUGAGCGCGCCCGAUCUCGUCUGGUUUCGGAAGCUAAGCAGGGUCGGGCCUGGCUCGUACUUGGAUGGGAGGCCGCCUGGGAAUACCGGGGGCUGGAGGCU
This is a ribosomal RNA of Carlito syrichta (Philippine tarsier), 118 nucleotides long. NCBI's taxonomy places the organism in Eukaryota, Metazoa, Chordata, Mammalia, Primates, Tarsiidae. The record is from Ensembl.